This 695-nucleotide long non-coding RNA is filed under the name Triticum aestivum (bread wheat). RNAcentral's name for it is "long non-coding RNA (TAES_LNC007131)". Lineage: Eukaryota; Viridiplantae; Streptophyta; Magnoliopsida; Poales; Poaceae. The record is from RNAcentral.
GUGGCGCGGCUCAUUUGCCUAAUCCAUCCAGCGGGGAAGACGGGAUUAUCUUAUCUGCUUUGUACUAUCCAUCCAGCAAGUGGCGUUGUUGUCUCCAUCAUCUAGUAGGUGUGAUGGGGGUGGGGGUAGUAUUAGUUCCCUCUUCUCUAUGUCUAUGAUUGAAGGAACCAAGAAACCCAGCGAUGCAUUGCAGAUUAUAGUAGAUAGAAUUCUGUCUGUUUGGAUGAAGUUGAUCGAAUAAACAACAGCAAGUCGCCUGAGUUAUCCAAGUUUUAAACUUUUAAUAGUGUCCGGCACACAGUGAGAAGCGAGGCCGGCCUAGUGAGUAUCUGGUGAUACCGCGGCUCAGGUGCUACCGUGAUACGAGCUCCUGGGCCGUCGGAUCCCAGAUCCAAUGGCAAACAGGGAGCUGCUGUAGCUGCUGUAUUUGUGCGCAUUUUUCAGAUUUUACGAGGGCUUUUUUGCAAAAAUGUCAUCAUUUCACAGGAGCUCUUGGAUCUAAGAUCCAAUGGCCGAGCUCGCACGGGAGCACCUAAGCUUAGGUGCUCCCGGAGCACCUGAUAUUUUCCCGCCGGCCUAGUCAUGAGAAAAGAAUCCUGGAAUCCGUGGUUGUUACAUUAUCCAUUCAAGGGAUCCAUAUGUUAAUUGGAUCUGGAAGGAAGAAUCUUUCUCGAAAGAAAGUGGAGAAAAGAGAG